This 405-nucleotide ribosomal RNA is filed under the name uncultured bacterium. RNAcentral's name for it is "partial 16S ribosomal RNA". It matches the Rfam family "Bacterial small subunit ribosomal RNA", at positions 28 to 526 of the family's 1533-position model. The record is from RNAcentral.
GAUGAACGCUGGCGGCGUGCCUAAUACAUGCAAGUCGAGCGAAGCGGGGACGGGUGAGUAACACGUGGAUAACCUCCUAUAAGACUGGGAUAACUUCGGGAAACCGGAGCUAAACCGGAUACUUAUAGAUGGAUCCGCGCUGCAUUAGCUAGUUGGUAAGGUAACGGCUUACCAAGGCAACGAUGCAUAGCCGACCUGAGAGGUGACUCUUCCCCCCUGGAACUGAGACCCGGUCCGCACUCCUCCCUCUUUCCUCCUUUUCUCUUCUUCCUCUCUUUCCGAAAGCCUGACCUAGCAACGCCGCGUGAGUGAUUAUUUUCUUCUGAUCAUCACACUCUGUUAUUAGGGAAGCGGUACCUAAUCAGAAAGCCACGGCUAACUACGUGCCAGCAGCCGCGGUAAUUC